Molecule: long non-coding RNA, 317 nt
Filed under: Zostera marina
Lineage: Eukaryota; Viridiplantae; Streptophyta; Magnoliopsida; Alismatales; Zosteraceae
Description: long non-coding RNA (ZMAR_LNC005698)
Source: RNAcentral
CCCCACCUGCUCUCAUUAAAGCUCCUUGGUUCUCGGGCCCCUCCUUCAUUGCUUCUCUAUAAAUAGGCUGCUCGAGAGCCUUAUUUUCCGCAUCCCCUCUCCUUUCCACUAUGAGUGCUCGAGACAUCCUUGAGGAGUAUGGCCGCGAAGUGCAGGCUCAACAUGCUACCUGGGCCUUGUGCCUGCUGUCGCCUAAUGGAGUCCCCAACAGUGUCGCCGUAGCCGAGACUCAGCGCCUUAACACCGUGCUGAUCGACGUCCACCGCCGCCUCAACCGGAUUCGCUGCGACGACAUUGUCGCGGAGCUUCCCCUCAUC